AGCUAAUACAUGCAAACAGAGCUCCUACCGGAGACGGAAGGAGUGCUUUUAUUAGAUCAAAACCAAUCGGUGGCGAGUUCACGCUCAUCAUCGUUCAACUUGGUGAUUCUGAAUAACUUUACGCUGAUCGCACGGUCUCGCACCGGCGACGCAUCUUUCAAAUGUCUGCCUUAUCAACUGUCGAUGGUAGGUUCUGCGCCUACCAUGGUUGUAACGGGUAACGGGGAAUCAGGGUUCGAUUCCGGAGAGGGAGCCUGAGAAACGGCUACCACAUCCAAGGAAGGCAGCAGGCGCGCAAAUUACCCACUCCCGGCACGGGGAGGUAGUGACGAAAAAUAACGAUACGGG
Molecule: ribosomal RNA, 348 nt
Filed under: Javaulius sp. 3 MB-2015
Lineage: Eukaryota; Metazoa; Arthropoda; Insecta; Coleoptera; Curculionidae
Description: SSU rRNA
Rfam family: Eukaryotic small subunit ribosomal RNA
Source: RNAcentral